GCGGACAGGGGGCGGGGCGGGAGCCCGGCGGGCGGCUGGGGGCUGGGCGGGAGUGGGGGGGGCGCCCACGCUCCGGGUGGUCCCCACCCCUCGCGGAGCGGCCAGCGUCCGGCCGGGAAGGUGGCGGGAGGCGGGGGGAGGGGGAGGGGGUGGUAGAAGGAGUCCUGGGGUCAGGAGCCCUGGGCUUACGAAAGGUCCCGCUGCCCGGCAUCCUCGCAGGGUAUUUGCUUCCUCUGACCUCAUCCUGAGCUACGUGUGUCUUCGAGUGUAGGGUCUCCGACAGCUUCAGAAUUCCAACGUCCUCAGCCUCACUUUGUUGGAAUUCUUGGCUUCCAGGGCUCCUCAGCUCCUUCGCCAGCUACUCCAACGCCACGCCCACGCGGUGCCCACAGAUUCUGCAAGCUCCCUCUCUGCCUACAGAGUUCUCCGCCUCCGAAGUCCAUCCUUGGUUCAGCCUCGUGAGCUCCAGCUAUCCUUCAAGGCUCCAUUUCUCUCUGGAGUCUUUCCUGAUAUCCCUCCACUUUGCCAUAGCCACGUGUUCACCCGCACCCCAAAAGGAAACACUCUUUUCUCUUUCAUACAGCUCUUUGUCCUCUAGGAUCAUCUUUUUUUUAAAGAAUUAUUUAUUUAUUUGAAAGUCAGAGUUACACAGAGAGAGAAGGAGAGGCAGAGAGAGCGAGGUCUCCCAUCCACUGGGUCACUCCCCAGUUGGCCACAAUGGCACAGCCAAUCCGAAGCCAGGAGCUUCUUCCAGGUCUCCCAUGUGGGUGCAGGCGCCCAAGCACUUGGACCAUCUUCUACUGUUUUCCCAGGCCCUAACAGAGAGCUGGAUCAGAAGUGGAGCAGCUAGACCUUGAACCAGUGCCCAUAUGGGAUGCCAGCACCACAGGCGGUGGAUUAACCCACUACGCCACAGUGCUGGCCCCUAGGAUAAUCUUUAACACUUUAACACUUUCUCUCUAGGCUGUGUGUUCCUUAAAGGGAUAGAGAUUUUGUCUAAUUCAUUUUCCACUCUCCAGAACAUAGCAUGGUACUCAGCACAAAGAAGGGUCUCUUCUCCUGUUAGUGAAGUGUUGGAGUCAUCAUCCAACAAAUAGUUUUAAAGAAACCAGAUUUUCUUUUCAUUUAUUUCUUUUCCUUUUUCAAUUUAUGUGAAAGGCAGAGAGAUAAAGAGAUAGGCAGACUGCAGACAGAAAGGAAUCUCCCACCACCUCCCCAAAUACCCUCAACAGCUGGGGAGCCAGGAAGUCUCCCUCAUGGGUGGCAGGGACUCAAGUCUUUGAGCCAUCACCUGCUGCAUCCCAGGGUAUGCAUUAGCAGGAAGCUGGACUAGGGAGCAGAGCUGGGACUCAAAUUCAGGCACUCCAGUACCUUAACUGCUUAGCCAAAUGCCUGCCCCAGCGGCAAGUAGAUUUGCCAAC
This 1421-nucleotide long non-coding RNA is filed under the name Oryctolagus cuniculus (rabbit). RNAcentral describes it as "lncRNA (ENSOCUG00000038972.1)". The record is from RNAcentral. Lineage: Eukaryota; Metazoa; Chordata; Mammalia; Lagomorpha; Leporidae.